AGCCCUGUCGUAUAAUGGUACAGUACGCCGGACUGUCGCUCCGGGGGCACGGGUUCGAUUCCCGUCAGGGUUG
Molecule: transfer RNA, 73 nt
Filed under: Eubacteriales bacterium
Lineage: Bacteria; Bacillati; Bacillota; Clostridia; Eubacteriales
Description: tRNA-Asp
Rfam family: tRNA
About the family: Transfer RNA (tRNA) molecules are approximately 80 nucleotides in length. Their secondary structure includes four short double-helical elements and three loops (D, anti-codon, and T loops). Further hydrogen bonds mediate the characteristic L-shaped molecular structure. tRNAs have two regions of fundamental functional importance: the anti-codon, which is responsible for specific mRNA codon recognition, and the 3' end, to which the tRNAs corresponding amino acid is attached (by aminoacyl-tRNA synthetases). tRNAs cope with the degeneracy of the genetic code in two manners: having more than one tRNA (with a specific anti-codon) for a particular amino acid; and 'wobble' base-pairing, i.e. permitting non-standard base-pairing at the 3rd anti-codon position.
Source: RNAcentral